UAUCGAUAAGCCAUUGGAGGGCAAGUCUGGUGCCAGCAGCCGCGGUAAUUCCAGCUCCAAUAGCGUAUAUUAACGUUGUUGCAGUUAAAAAGCUCGUAGUUGAAGUGAGGGAGUGUGUGUUCAUGAGAGCUAGUCUCGAGUGUUCACAACCUCCCCCCUCCAAUCGGUGUAGUGGGGUAUUCAGUUAUUCCACUACUCCUUUGGUCGUUUACUGUGAGAAAAUUAGAGUGUUCAAAGCGGGCGUUUGUUUGAAUAGAUUAGCAUGGAAUAAUGAUUGAAGGCUUUCGUGUUCGAUUUGAUUGGUUUGUUCAUGGAAGCAAGGUUAAAAGGAACAGUUGGGGGUAUUCAUAUUCACUAGUUAGAGGUGAAAUUCUCGGAUUUAUGGAAGAUGAACA
RNAcentral lists this ribosomal RNA (395 nucleotides) under Blastocystis sp. Its description in RNAcentral is "SSU rRNA". It matches the Rfam family "Eukaryotic small subunit ribosomal RNA", at positions 535 to 941 of the family's 1831-position model. Lineage: Eukaryota; Bigyra; Opalinata; Blastocystidae. The record is from RNAcentral.